ACAAAUAUGUCGGAAUUGGUAGACGAGGCUCACUUAGGAUGAGUUGCUAUUUAAUAGCUUAAGGGUUCAAGUCCCUUUAUUUGUA
This is a non-coding RNA of Cutaneotrichosporon spelunceum, 85 nucleotides long. NCBI's taxonomy places the organism in Eukaryota, Fungi, Basidiomycota, Tremellomycetes, Trichosporonales, Trichosporonaceae. The record is from the annotation of a GenBank genome assembly.